AACACACAUUGCGCCCUUCGGUAUUCCGAAGGGCAUGCCUGUUUGAGUGUCAUUAACCUCUCACCUCAAUCAUUUGUGAUUGUUGUCGGUGUUGGAAUUUGCGUAGGAUUCGUUUCCAGCGCUGUUCUUAAAUCAAUUGGUGCAGCCCGCUGCUCAGUUACACAACGUUCUAGGUUCGUCCAACUCGUUGCGAGACUGUGGCAAUCAAUGGUUGCGGCACCUUAAGCUUGACCGGUGCUUCUAAGCUCCGUGUCUCAUCUUUUUAUUGACCUCAGAUCAGGUAGGAAUACGCGCUGAACUUAA
This 303-nucleotide unclassified non-coding RNA is filed under the name Pezizellaster sp. Its description in RNAcentral is "partial contains 5.8S ribosomal RNA, internal transcribed spacer 2, and large subunit ribosomal RNA". The stretch from base 1 to 52 matches the Rfam family "5.8S ribosomal RNA", at positions 103 to 154 of the family's 154-position model. The record is from RNAcentral. Lineage: Eukaryota; Fungi; Ascomycota; Leotiomycetes; Helotiales; Lachnaceae.